Molecule: ribosomal RNA, 244 nt
Filed under: uncultured Lactobacillus sp.
Lineage: Bacteria; Bacillati; Bacillota; Bacilli; Lactobacillales; Lactobacillaceae
Description: partial 16S ribosomal RNA
Rfam family: Bacterial small subunit ribosomal RNA
Source: RNAcentral
UGGGUAACCUGCCCAAGAAAUCGGGAUAACACCUGGAAACAGAUGCUAAUACCGGAUAACAACAGAUGAUGCCUAUCAACUGUUUAAAAGAUGGUUCUGCUAUCACUCUUGGAUGGACCUGCGGUGCAUUAGCUAGUUGGUAGGGUAACGGCCUACCAAGGCGAUGAUGCAUAGCCGAGUUGAGAGACUUAUCGGCCACAUUGGGACUGAGACACGGCCCAAACUCCUACGGGAGGCAGCAGCU